UGAAGCGAAAAGGUACACCCAAAACGCCCCGUUUCUUUAAAAAGAAAGAACAAGCAACGCGACGUUUGCAAAAAUGCAAAUCAUAUCACAGUAUCACACUAACAUCUGCAAUGGGCAUCGUUCGUUUUCAAUCAUCAGAAAGCCUGAAAGCCCAAGCCACGAGUGAUGUGAUGUAAAGUAAAUCAACGGGUAAGUUGCACAGGAUUAUUGCUCUCUGCUUGGAUUAUAGUAGCGGGUAGUGGCAGCCACUAGCCAUUUAGCCACUACUGCUCGGUCAAUAACAUUUCUAUGACGCUUUUGUCCUUGUAUAAUUAAAAUCUCUUUUCAGAUGCAAGAUGACGUAACUUGUAAGCCCCACUCAGUCAAGGAUAUUACUGUCCGCCCAAAAAAAAUUUGUUUGUAGGAAAUUCAGUGACGAGUAGACCAGAAUUUCUGCAAUCGGUGGCGUGGGUCCCACUCAUCAUGGGCAUUCCCGUUAGCCAUUAUCAAUCAUACCUUCACUUCAAAAAUAUAUUAUCCUUCUAGGAAAAAAAAACAGUGAAUCUACAUACUAUUGUAUACUUGCUUAGUUGCUUGUAACUUUCUAAUUUUAUCGUUAUAAAAAU
Molecule: long non-coding RNA, 605 nt
Filed under: Citrus x clementina
Lineage: Eukaryota; Viridiplantae; Streptophyta; Magnoliopsida; Sapindales; Rutaceae
Description: Citrus clementina (C. clementina) long non-coding RNA (CCLE_LNC002856)
Source: RNAcentral